RNAcentral lists this ribosomal RNA (617 nucleotides) under uncultured bacterium. RNAcentral describes it as "bacterial SSU rRNA". It matches the Rfam family "Bacterial small subunit ribosomal RNA", at positions 338 to 956 of the family's 1533-position model. The record is from RNAcentral.
CCUACGGGAGGUAGCAGUGGGGAAUUUUGGACAAUGGGCGCAAGCCUGAUCCAGCAAUGCCGCGUGAGUGAAGAAGGCCUUCGGGUUGUAAAGCUCUUUUGUCAGGGAAGAAACGGUGGGAGCUAAUAUCUCCUGCUAAUGACGGUACCUGAAGAAUAAGCACCGGCUAACUACGUGCCAGCAGCCGCGGUAAUACGUAGGGUGCAAGCGUUAAUCGGAAUUACUGGGCGUAAAGCGUGCGCAGGCGGUUUUGUAAGACUGUCGUGAAAUCCCCGGGCUCAACCUGGGAAUGGCGAUGGUGACUGCAAGGCUAGAGUUUGGCAGAGGGGGGUAGAAUUCCACGUGUAGCAGUGAAAUGCGUAGAUAUGUGGAGGAACACCGAUGGCGAAGGCAGCCCCCUGGGUCAAAACUGACGCUCAUGCACGAAAGCGUGGGGAGCAAACAGGAUUAGAUACCCUGGUAGUCCACGCCCUAAACGAUGUCUACUAGUUGUCGGGUCUUAAUUGACUUGGUAACGCAGCUAACGCGUGAAGUAGACCGCCUGGGGAGUACGGUCGCAAGNUUAAAACUCAAAGAUUAGACGGCGNGAGAGAGCGACGACGACGACGAGGAGGAGG